This 384-nucleotide unclassified non-coding RNA is filed under the name Hevea brasiliensis (rubber tree). The record is from RNAcentral. Lineage: Eukaryota; Viridiplantae; Streptophyta; Magnoliopsida; Malpighiales; Euphorbiaceae.
AAAUUAUUUAAAAAAAUAAUAAUAAUUAAAGCGAAGUGAAUUACUUUUUCUUGUUCUUUACAUGUUACCACCAUUAAUUUUUUUUAAUUUUUUAAAAUAAAUUUCACAUAUUAAUAUAUUAGUGGCCUGCACACUAACUGGGAAUUCUAAUUGGUAUAGCUGGGUAAUUUUAUAAUUUCUCCACAUCCUUAAAUAAAUGUUCAUAUCUAGUAUAUAUUAGUUACAGGAACGUGCCAAUUGAAUUAUGUAAAUGGUCUUAUAUUUGGCCGGCUUAGAGAGGUGGUCAAAGUCAUCCAACGAUAUUAUAUGGUCCUGAGGCUUUAAAGAAAUUCGGAUCGAUCAUUGGAUGGAUGUAUGUUCAUGGGUUGAAUAUUUAUCCUUGCU